Molecule: long non-coding RNA, 240 nt
Filed under: Elaeis guineensis (African oil palm)
Lineage: Eukaryota; Viridiplantae; Streptophyta; Magnoliopsida; Arecales; Arecaceae
Description: long non-coding RNA (EGUI_LNC080034)
Source: RNAcentral
UUUCCUUGCACUUGGCUUAUCCAAUAAAUCAAUUGGACUUGAUCCAAUCAAGCCCAAACUAAAUCUAAUUAAAUCAUAUUCAAGUAGAUAUAAUCUCAGCCUAUUAUCUUAAUCAAAUUAAGUCAAUUAGCAAUCAAAUUGCUAAUCGAUCCUCCUGCAACACUUGCGCUAGGUUAAAUGUCAAUCAUAUUGAUCAUUUAAUCCUAGAAUGAUUCUUAAUCAUUAAUCAACCAUCCAAUC